Molecule: ribosomal RNA, 490 nt
Filed under: uncultured bacterium
Lineage: Bacteria
Description: partial 16S ribosomal RNA
Rfam family: Bacterial small subunit ribosomal RNA
Source: RNAcentral
AGUGAACGCUGGCGGUAGGCCUAACACAUGCAAGUCGAACGGCAGCACAGGAGAGCUUGCCCUCUGGGUGGCGAGUGGCGGACGGGUGAGGAAUACAUCGGAAUCUACCCUUUUGCGGGGGAGAACGCAGGGAAACUUACGCUAAUAUCGCAUACGACCCACGCGUGAAAGUGGGGGACAGCAUCGCCCCACGCGCGUAGAUGUGCCGAUGUCCGAUUAGCUAGUUGGCGGGGUAAUGGCCCACCAAGGCGACGAUCGGUAGCUGGUCUGAGAGGAUGAUCAGCCACACUGGAACUGAGACACGGUCCAGACUCCUACGGGAGGCAGCAGUGGGGAAUAUUGGACAAAGGGCGCAAGCCUGAUCCAGCCAUACCGCGUGGGUGAAGAAGGCCUUCGGGUUGUAAAGCCCUUUUGUUGGGAAAGAAAUCCUGUCGAUUAAUACUCGGUGGGGAUGACGGUACCCAAAGAAUAAGCACCGGCUAACUUCGUG